AUGCGGUGUGGUUCCCUGGUCCCUCUGGUGUCCUCAGAUCGGCCGAAGCCCGCCGGAGUCACCUGUUCCCCACCGCCCGACCGCCCAUGCUUCUUCUCUGCCACCGCCCCUCGCCAUCGUGCCGCUCUUCCCCAGGGUAUCCUCUCUGCGGGAACGGAGGCAAUGGAGAGAUCCGUGCUCGCCGGUGCUCUCCACUUGGCUGGAGUCGGCCGGAGCCCGCCGUGCCAGCACCGGCAGCGCCCUGCCCGGGCCCCUCUGCUUCUGUCACGAGCGAGCACGGGGGAGGAAGAAGACGACCACACUGGCUCCCCUGCCGCGUGGGACCCCUCUGUAAGUGGGUAA
This 342-nucleotide ribosomal RNA is filed under the name Triticum aestivum (bread wheat). RNAcentral describes it as "partial small subunit ribosomal RNA". The record is from RNAcentral. Lineage: Eukaryota; Viridiplantae; Streptophyta; Magnoliopsida; Poales; Poaceae.